This 271-nucleotide ribosomal RNA is filed under the name uncultured prokaryote. RNAcentral describes it as "partial 16S ribosomal RNA". It matches the Rfam family "Bacterial small subunit ribosomal RNA", at positions 524 to 794 of the family's 1533-position model. The record is from RNAcentral.
UACGUAGGUGGCAAGCGUUAUCCGGAAUUACUGGGUGUAAAGGGCGCGCAGGCGGCCCUGCAAGUCGGAUGUGAAAGAUCAAGGCUCAACCUUGACAGGCCAUUCGAAACUGUGGGACUUGAGUGUCAGAGGGGAAAGUGGAAUUCCUAGUGGAGCGGUAAAAUGCGCAGAUAUUAGGAGGAACACCGGUGGCGAAGGCGACUUUCUGGCUGACAACUGACGCUGAGGCGCGAAAGCGUGGGGAGCAAACAGGAUUAGAUACCCGGGUAGU